This 465-nucleotide ribosomal RNA is filed under the name uncultured bacterium. RNAcentral's name for it is "partial 16S ribosomal RNA". It matches the Rfam family "Bacterial small subunit ribosomal RNA", at positions 29 to 506 of the family's 1533-position model. The record is from RNAcentral.
AUGAACGCUGGCGGCGCGCCUAACACAUGCAAGUCGAACGAUUAAAGCACCUUCGGGUGUGUAUAAAGUGGCGAACGGCUGAGUAACACGUGGGCAACCUGCCCCUUUCAUUGGGAUAGCCACGGGAAACCGUGGAUAAUACCGAAUACUUCGAGACUUCCGCAUGGAAGACUCGAGAAAGCUCCGGCGGAGAGGGAUGGGCCCGCGGCCUGUUAGCUUGUUGGUGGGGUAACGGCCUACCAAGGCAAUGAUGGGUAGCUGGGUUGAGAGACCGACCAGCCAGAUUGGGACUGAGACACGGCCCAGACUCCUACGGGAGGCAGCAGUGGGGAAUCUUGCACAAUGGGCGAAAGCCUGAUGCAGCGACGCCGCGUGCGGGAUGAAGGCCUUCGGGUUGUAAACCGCUUUCAGCAGGGACGAGGCGAAAGUGACGGUACCUGCAGAAGAAGCCCCGGCUAACUACGU